Molecule: ribosomal RNA, 306 nt
Organism: Tepidiphilus thermophilus
Lineage: Bacteria; Pseudomonadati; Pseudomonadota; Hydrogenophilia; Hydrogenophilales; Hydrogenophilaceae
Rfam family: Bacterial large subunit ribosomal RNA
Source: Rfam
GACAGUUUGGUCCCUAUCUGCCGUGGGCGCUGGAAGUUUGAGGGGAUCUGCUCCUAGUACGAGAGGACCGGAGUGGACGCACCUCUGGUGUACCGGUUGUCACGCCAGUGGCACCGCCGGGUAGCUAUGUGCGGAAGGAAUAACCGCUGAAAGCAUCUAAGCGGGAAAUCCCCCCCAAGAUGAGACUUCCCCGGGGGCUCGACCCCCCUGAAGGGCCGUGGAAGACCACCACGUCGAUAGGGCGCAGGUGUAAGGCGGGUAACCGCUUGAGCUGAGCGCUACUAAUUGCCCGUGCGGCUUGAUCCU